RNAcentral lists this ribosomal RNA (468 nucleotides) under uncultured bacterium. Its description in RNAcentral is "partial 16S ribosomal RNA". It matches the Rfam family "Bacterial small subunit ribosomal RNA", at positions 28 to 507 of the family's 1533-position model. The record is from RNAcentral.
GACGAACGCUGGCGGCGUGCUUAACACAUGCAAGUCGAACGGAAAGGCCCUGCUUUUGUGGGGUGCUCGAGUGGCGAACGGGUGAGUAACACGUGAGUAACCUGCCCUUGACUUUGGGAUAACUUCAGGAAACUGGGGCUAAUACCGGAUAGGAGCUCCUGCUGCAUGGUGGGGGUUGGAACGUUUCGGCGGUUGGGGAUGGACUCGCGGCUUAUCAGCUUGUUGGUGGGGUAGUGGCUUACCAGGGCUUUGACGGGUAGCCGGCCUGAGAGGGUGACCGGCCACAUUGGGACUGAGAUACGGCCCAGACUCCUACGGGAGGCAGCAGUGGGGAAUAUUGCACAAUGGGCGGAAGCCUGAUGCAGCAACGCCGCGUGCGGGAUGACGGCCUUCGGGUUGUAAACCGCUUUCGCCUGUGACGAAGCGUGAGUGACGGUAAUGGGUAAAGAAGCACCGGCUAACUACGUG